Molecule: ribosomal RNA, 375 nt
Filed under: uncultured organism
Description: partial 16S ribosomal RNA
Rfam family: Bacterial small subunit ribosomal RNA
Source: RNAcentral
GGAGGGUGCAAGCAUUAAUCGGGAUUUACUGGGGUGUAAAGGGCGCGUAGGCGGAUAGGCAAGUCAGAUGUGAAAUUCCGGGGGGCUCAACCUCGGAGCUGCAUUUGAAACUACUUGUCUUGAGGAUAGAUGGAGAAAAUGGAAUUCCACAUGUAGCGGUGAAAUGCGUAGAUAUGUGGAAGAACACCGGUGGCGAAAGCGGUUUUCUAGUUUAUUCCUGACGCUGAGGCGCGAAAGCAAGGGGAGCAAACAGGAUUAGAUACCCUGGUAGUCCUUGCUGUAAACGAUGCAUACUUGGUGUAGUUGGUCUCAACCCCGACUGUGCCGUAGCUAACGUGUUAAGUAUGCCACCUGGGGAGUACGCUCGCAAGGGUG